Molecule: long non-coding RNA, 551 nt
Organism: Sycon ciliatum
Lineage: Eukaryota; Metazoa; Porifera; Calcarea; Leucosolenida; Sycettidae
Exons: 2
Source: RefSeq, a predicted model, not a curated record
GGUGCUUGUACUGCCUUCCAAAGUGAAGAGGAGAUGAACAUGGCUUUGCAUAGCUGUUGUCCUAUGCCAACUUACCUACUCUUGCUGGUACCGUAGUGGCAUAUUGCAAAUUUCGUGGACGAACAACUCUAGUCACUAGUGGCUAGUGAGCAACACUAACAGAGCCUUGACGUUGCUGGACGAGCGACAAUAUAAAUUACAUAAACAUGUAGCUCGUGAUGUGGGAUGACUGCCGUAUCGCAUUGCCAACGCAAACCCAUCCUGUGUCAGUGCAGCCAUCCAGCAACUUGAACUCCCCGGACCAGAUGCCGCUGCAGCUGAACACCAUGCCGAUGGAAAGCCAGGAGUUGAUAGCGAAGCAUUCUGGUCUGCACGGUACAAGGCAAAGAACAAUUAUGAAUUAUAAUGCAUUGUAAUCUUUCCCACACUUCUUUGUGAAAACAAACAAACAGUGCCAUUAUCACAACACUUGAUCAAGCAUCUUGAUGGAGGUAUUUUCCAUUGUGCUGGCUCAGCAUCUGCACCAGGAAGACCAUGUACACUUACACGUA